GGUAACGGCCUACCAAGUCGACGAUCAGUAGCCGGACUGAGAGGUUGAACGGCCACAUUGGGACUGAGACACGGCCCAGACUCCUACGGGAGGCAGCAGUGGGGAAUAUUGCACAAUGGGGGAAACCCUGAUGCAGCAACGCCGCGUGAAGGAAGACGGUUUUCGGAUUGUAAACUUCUGUUCUUAGUGAAGAAUAAUGACGGUAGCUAAGGAGCAAGCCACGGCUAACUACGUGCCAGCAGCCGCGGUAAUACGUAGGUGGCAAGCGUUGUCCGGAAUUACUGGGUGUAAAGGGAGCGUAGGCGGGAUGCCAAGUCAGCUGUGAAAACUAUGGGCUUAACCUGUAGACUGCAGUUGAAACUGGUAUUCUUGAGUGAAGUAGAGGUUGGCGGAAUUCCGAGUGUAGCGGUGAAAUGCGUAGAUAUUCGGAGGAACACCGGUGGCGAAGGCGGCCAACUGGGCUUUAACUGACGCUGAGGCUCGAAAGUGUGGGGAGCAAACAGGAUUAGAUACCCUGGUAGUCCACACUGUAAACGAUGAUAAGUAGGUGUGGGGGGUCUGACCCCUUCCGUGCCGCAG
RNAcentral lists this ribosomal RNA (579 nucleotides) under uncultured bacterium. RNAcentral's name for it is "bacterial SSU rRNA". It matches the Rfam family "Bacterial small subunit ribosomal RNA", at positions 256 to 851 of the family's 1533-position model. The record is from RNAcentral.